Molecule: ribosomal RNA, 575 nt
Filed under: Shigella flexneri
Lineage: Bacteria; Pseudomonadati; Pseudomonadota; Gammaproteobacteria; Enterobacterales; Enterobacteriaceae
Description: bacterial SSU rRNA
Rfam family: Bacterial small subunit ribosomal RNA
Source: RNAcentral
AAAUUGAAGAGUUUGAUCAUGGCUCAGAUUGAACGCUGGCGGCAGGCCUAACACAUGCAAGUCGAACGGUAACAGGAAACAGCUUGCUGUUUCGCUGACGAGUGGCGGACGGGUGAGUAAUGUCUGGGAAACUGCCCGAUGGAGGGGGAUAACUACUGGAAACGGUAGCUAAUACCGCAUAACGUCGCAAGACCAAAGAGGGGGACCUUCGGGCCUCUUGCUAUCGGAUGUGCCCAGAUGGGAUUAGCUAGUAGGUGGGGUAACGGCUCACCUAGGCGACGAUCCCUAGCUGGUCUGAGAGGAUGACCAGCCACACUGGAACUGAGACACGGUCCAGACUCCUACGGGAGGCAGCAGUGGGGAAUAUUGCACAAUGGGCGCAAGCCUGAUGCAGCCAUGCCGCGUGUAUGAAGAAGGCCUUCGGGUUGUAAAGUACUUUCAGCGGGGAGGAAGGGAGUAAAGUUAAUACCUUUACUCAUUGACGUUACCCGCAGAAGAAGCACCGGCUAACUCCGUGCCAGCAGCCGCGGUAAUACGGAGGGUGCAAGCGUUAAUCGGAAUUACUGGGCGUAAAG